This 211-nucleotide long non-coding RNA is filed under the name Daucus carota (carrot). RNAcentral's name for it is "long non-coding RNA (DCAR_LNC001125)". The record is from RNAcentral. Lineage: Eukaryota; Viridiplantae; Streptophyta; Magnoliopsida; Apiales; Apiaceae.
UGAGGAAGUGUGUAGAUGAAGAUUUGAAUUUGCAGAGAACAGAGUGUAAGAGUGUUGGUUAGAAAGUGAAAGUAGAGAGUAAGUGUAAAAUUGAAUAAUAAAAUCUGAUCUGAAAAACUCUUCAGAUUUUGUUGAACUGAGUACGCAUGGGCUUUUUGUUCAAUUAGACACCUGUCAAAAUGUAACUGGUAGAUGAAUGUUAGUGGGAUAG